GUAGGUGGCAAGCGUUGUCCGGAAUUAUUGGGCGUAAAGCGCGCGCAGGUGGGUUCUUUAAGUCUGAUGUGAAAGCCCCCGGGCUCAACCGGGGAGGGUCAUUGGAAACUGGGGAACUUGAGUGCAGGAGAGGAAAGUGGAAUUCCACGUGUAGCGGUGAAAUGCGUAGAUAUGUGGAGGAACACCAGUGGCGAAGGCGACUUUCUGGCCUGUAACUGACACUGAGGCGCGAAAGCGUGGGGAGCAAACAGGAUUAGAUACCCUGGUAGUCCACGCCGUAAACGAUGAGUGCUAAGUGUUGGGGGGUUUCCGCCCCUCAGUGAUGCAGCUAACGCAUUAAGCACUCCGCCUGGGGAGUACGGUCGCAAAGACUG
This 374-nucleotide ribosomal RNA is filed under the name uncultured organism. RNAcentral describes it as "partial 16S ribosomal RNA". It matches the Rfam family "Bacterial small subunit ribosomal RNA", at positions 527 to 896 of the family's 1533-position model. The record is from RNAcentral.